AUAGAACGCUGGCGGUAUGCUUAACACAUGCAAGUCGAACGGCAGCAUGGUCUAGCUUGCUAGACUGAUGGCGAGUGGCGGACGGGUGAGUAACGCGUAGGAAUAUGCCUUGAAGAGUGGGACAACUUGGGGAAACUCAAGCUAUUACCGCAUGUACUCGAGAGAGUAAAGCUGGGGACCUUUAGGCCUGGCGCUUUAAGAUUAGCCUGCGUCCGAUUAGCUAGUUGGUAGGGUAAAGGCCUACCAAGGCGACGAUCGGUAGCUGGUCUGAGAGGAGGAUCAGCCACACUGGAACUGAGAGACGGUCCAGACUCCUACGGGAGGCAGCAGUGGGGAAUAUUGGACAAUGGGGGGAACCCUGAUCCAGCAAUGCCGCGUAUGUGAAGAAGGCCUGAGGGUUGUAAAGCACUUUCAGUGGGGAGGAGGUUUGGAAGGUUAAGAGCUAUUCAAAUGGACGUUACCCACAGAAGAAGCACCGGCUAACUCCGUGCCAGCCGCCGCCGUAA
This 506-nucleotide ribosomal RNA is filed under the name uncultured bacterium. Its description in RNAcentral is "partial 16S ribosomal RNA". It matches the Rfam family "Bacterial small subunit ribosomal RNA", at positions 31 to 523 of the family's 1533-position model. The record is from RNAcentral.